Molecule: ribosomal RNA, 447 nt
Filed under: uncultured bacterium
Lineage: Bacteria
Description: bacterial SSU rRNA
Rfam family: Bacterial small subunit ribosomal RNA
Source: RNAcentral
UGAUUUGUUGGAUCAUGGCUCAGAGCUGAACGCUGGCUGUGUAAAGCCUAACACAUGCAAGUCGAACGGCAGCACAGGAGAGCUUGCUCUCUGGGUGGCGAGUGGCGGACGGGUGAGGAAUACAUCGGAAUCUACUCUGUCGUGGGGGAUAACGUAGGGAAACUUACGCUAAUACCGCAUACGACCUACGGGUGAAAGCAGGGGAUCUUCGGACCUUGCGCGAUUGAAUGAGCCGAUGUCGGAUUAGCUAGUUGGCGGGGUAAAGGCCCACCAAGGCGACGAUCCGUAGCUGGUCUGAGAGGAUGAUCAGCCACACUGGAACUGAGACACGGUCCAGACUCCUACGGGAGGCAGCAGUGGGGAAUAUUGGACAAUGGGCGCAAGCCUGAUCCAGCCAUACCGCGUGGGUGAAUGAAGGCCUUCGGGUUGUAAAUGCCCUUUUGUUGG